RNAcentral lists this long non-coding RNA (2166 nucleotides) under Mus musculus (house mouse). RNAcentral describes it as "long non-coding RNA chr12:29371967-29374133". Lineage: Eukaryota; Metazoa; Chordata; Mammalia; Rodentia; Muridae. The record is from RNAcentral.
AGGGAGUUCUGUGUAUUCUUCUCUAGAAUUCCCAUGCUAAGCAUGGAGAAGAGCAAGGCACAUCCCAGCAUGACCUGGGAUCCUGAUGAGACCAUGUCACUGCAUUUGGAGAGAUAGCUAACACAAUGGUGUGUGUGUGUGUGUGUGUGUGUGUGUGUGUGUGUGUGUGUGUGUGUGUGUGAUUUUAUAUGAGGAUCCUGAAGAGCCCAUGUUUUUAAAGAUAGCUAACAUGUGGGAGAGCAUACUACCAGGGGCGGGUCACCAAGCUAACAGAAUGUAUAUGCCAGAAGAGUCUCUGCUUUAUCUUAUCCUACUUCCUCCAACAUGUAGCCACAUCUUCCAGUCUGUCAUUCAAGCUCCUUUUGAAAGUUAAAGCCACUGUGAGUGACCCUUGGCUCCUGAAACACACACAACUCACAAAAGCAGCCUUCAGGUUAUGACCUAAAUAGGCCCAAAUCUCUGCUACAGUGGAGGAAUGAUUCCCCAAAACAGCACACAUUAGGACCACAGAGCUCAUGGCCUUAAAGGGCCAUAGCUCCCCCCCCCCAUGCUUUCCGAGGAAGUCAUGAAGAGAGGUGUGUGUCAGGAUAUACCACAUAGGAUCCAUCUUUCAACCUCCCUUCACAUUGUCUCGUGCCCUGACAGGUAGGAGUAACAGCUGAUCCCAUGACCAGUGCCCCGGCACGUGUGACAUUCCCUGAACCUGGGCUGUGUUCUUCCCUGCCUCUUCUCCAUGUCUUAAGAGGCAACCCUGCAGCUUGCUCAGCCUUUACUCUGGUUCUCUCCAUCCAGAUCUCAACACUGACUAGGUUAGAAGGCAUCUCACAGCCAGGGUCCGGGCAGCCAGGGGAUUAUUUGCAGAGGAAUAUGUGUACAUACAUGUGCUAUGAUGUCCAUUUAUAUGUGUGCACUUAUGUACAGCAUAUAUGUGCUCAUGUACAUGCAGCUAUCCUUGUUACACUGUCACCUCUGUGCACUUUUGACCUUCUUGUCUUACUCUGCAUUUGCCAUUAAAAACGUUGAGUUUCAGGGAUUGGGGGGUGGGGGGUGGCUUGGUGAUUAAAGGCAUUUGUCACUAAGCUUGACAACUUGAGGUCAAACCCUGAAGCCCAUUGUGUGAACUGACUCAAGGAAAACUGAUUUUGUCUGUCCUAUAGUGUGUAUAACACAUCAAAUAAACAAACAAUAAUAAAAAAUAUAAUUAAAAAUGUUUUUCCAUAAUGCUAUCCCCUUCUCAAAUGUUACCCCUGAAGCCACUGUGAUCAUUGGUCAAUGCUUAGCUUGGGAAUGGCCUGUGACCCUCUUUGUCCCUGCUGGUCAUGCAGACAUAGAACUCAUGUCGCAUGUGCCCUUGUUUGUCCAUUGUUUGACUGCAGAAGGCUUCAAAGACAGAGACUAGGUCUGAGUCACUUUUCCCUCUGCAGCAAUUUGCCAUAUCUGGGCCACAAGUAGACUCACAUAAUGAAUAAAAUAAUGAAUAAGUGAAGUUAAUAAAAUUACUGUAUAAAUAAUACAUAGGAAAAAGAACAUUGCCGGUAAACCAUUAACUCGUGUAUAGGCAUAAUUAACCCAAAGAGGUAAUUACUGUAUGCUAACACAAGUACAGUGUAAGUCAGAGAAUGAUGAGGUUCAAUGUCAGACUGGGCACAGGUCCCUGCCACACAGAAAAGGGGCCAGAAUUGUUUUCAAAAUCGGAGGUGUCAUUGACAUGCAGUGAAGUAGCAAGCCUUGGUUGGCUGGGACUUAUAUGUGUGUCCGUGGACCCACAGCCAGUCAGAUAUGGAAUGUAAAACAACUUUUCUUGGGUUCUAUCCAAGAGAUAGAGUACUGGUUAGUUUUAAUCAUUAAUUUCAUGUAAUCUAGAAUCACCUUGAAGAGUCUCUAUGAGGAACUUUCUAGAUCAUGCUGACCUGUGGGCAUGUCUUGGGGAGAAGAUUUUUCUAUUCUAUCAAAAUAGAAGAUCUGUCGGUGGCACCAUUCUUAAAUAGGGGAUGCUGGACCAUUUAAGAAGAGAAGAAGUGAGCUGAAGAGUGAGGAUAUAUGCCUUCAUAUCCAUGCUCCUGAUUCUGAAUGUAAUAUGCCUAGCAUAAGUUUCUGUUGCCUUGACUUCUCCCAUGAUGGACUGUAUUAUCUCAGAAUUAGGAACCAAAAUAAACCCUUUCUCUC